AUUUGAACCGCACUGCACUUUUC
Molecule: small nuclear RNA, 23 nt
Filed under: Arabidopsis thaliana (thale cress)
Lineage: Eukaryota; Viridiplantae; Streptophyta; Magnoliopsida; Brassicales; Brassicaceae
Description: snRNA_11089
Source: RNAcentral